This 253-nucleotide ribosomal RNA is filed under the name uncultured bacterium. RNAcentral's name for it is "partial 16S ribosomal RNA". It matches the Rfam family "Bacterial small subunit ribosomal RNA", at positions 524 to 776 of the family's 1533-position model. The record is from RNAcentral.
UACAGAGGUCUCAAGCGUUGUUCGGAUUCAUUGGGCGUAAAGGGUGCGUAGGCGGCGCGGUAAGUCGGGUGUGAAAUCUCGGGGCUUAACUCCGAAACUGCAUUCGAUACUGCUGUGCUUGAGGACUGGAGAGGAGACUGGAAUUUACGGUGUAGCAGUGAAAUGCGUAGAGAUCGUAAGGAAGACCAGUGGCGAAGGCGGGUCUCUGGACAGUUCCUGACACUGAGGCACGAAGGCCAGGGGAGCAAACGGG